This is a long non-coding RNA of Equus quagga, 703 nucleotides long. RefSeq lists it as uncharacterized. The record is from RefSeq and is a predicted model, not a curated record. The transcript has 2 exons. NCBI's taxonomy places the organism in Eukaryota, Metazoa, Chordata, Mammalia, Perissodactyla, Equidae.
UCUUGCUGAUCCCUUCUGGGCCUCUGCUCUUCCUCCUUACAGCCCGGCAGCACAGGCAGGACUGGGCACUUGGUAGAAACACAGCCUCUGAGGCCUCACCCAAGACCUAUCGAAUCAGAAUCUGCGUUCUCACAAGAUGCCCAGGUGAUCUGUCUGCCCCCAAAGACUGGGCAGAGAUGGCAGGGGAGGAGGAGGAAGCUGCGUGGGAUGAAACAGGAAGAGGCUAACCACAGGCAGGAGACACGUGUACAAGGGACCCAUCAGAGCUGACAGAAGAAUGGAACAACGUGGAGCCUGGAGCCCAUCACGCCUGGACACCAACAUCCCUGCACCCCUCCUCACUGCCCACUUCCCAACGUAACUGCCUCAAGAUUCUCUAAUCUUGGAAGAUGGGUUUUUUGGAGAUAUUAGUCUGUCAUCUUACCGAUUAUGGCAGCUAAAUCGACUUAAAACUUCCUUUCUCCAUCCCUAACUCGUGAUUGACUGUCUCAGAGUGUGGCGAGCAGAGUGAGCCCAUUACUCGGUAUCAGAAAGAGGCAUACUAAGCAGCUGCCUAUGUGGCCAGGAGUAAAGGAUGCUUGGCGUCCCCUUGGAGCAUGUGUUCUGUGGGGCUCUGAGUGGUGUCACGGGUUCCUAAACUGGGCGAAACAUGGAGAUUUAGGCACCACUCUAGAGAUCGCUCAUUAAAAUACAGUUUUCACCA